AAAUUGAAGAGUUUGAUCAUGGCUCAGAUUGAACGCUGGCGGCAGGCCUAACACAUGCAAGUCGAGCGGUAGCACAGAGAGCUUGCUCUCGGGUGACGAGCGGCGGACGGGUGAGUAAUGUCUGGGAAACUGCCUGAUGGAGGGGGAUAACUACUGGAAACGGUAGCUAAUACCGCAUAACGUCGCAAGACCAAAGUGGGGGACCUUCGGGCCUCAUGCCAUCAGAUGUGCCCAGAUGGGAUUAGCUAGUAGGUGGGGUAACGGCUCACCUAGGCGACGAUCCCUAGCUGGUCUGAGAGGAUGACCAGCCACACUGGAACUGAGACACGGUCCAGACUCCUACGGGAGGCAGCAGUGGGGAAUAUUGCACAAUGGGCGCAAGCCUGAUGCAGCCAUGCCGGGUGUGUGAAGAAGGUCUUCGGGUUGUAAAGCACUUUCAGCGGGGAGGAAGGCG
This 454-nucleotide ribosomal RNA is filed under the name Klebsiella pneumoniae. Its description in RNAcentral is "bacterial SSU rRNA". It matches the Rfam family "Bacterial small subunit ribosomal RNA", at positions 1 to 453 of the family's 1533-position model. The record is from RNAcentral. Lineage: Bacteria; Pseudomonadati; Pseudomonadota; Gammaproteobacteria; Enterobacterales; Enterobacteriaceae.